CCUACGGGAGGCUGCAGUGGGGAAUAUUGCACAAUGGGGGAAACCCUGAUGCAGCGACGCCGCGUGAGUGAAGAAGUAUUUCGGUAUGUAAAGCUCUAUCAGCAGGGAAGAAAAUGACGGUACCUGUUUAAGAAGCCCCGGCUAACUACGUGCCAGCAGCCGCGGUAAUACGUAGGGGGCAAGCGUUAUCCGGAUUUACUGGGUGUAAAGGGAGCGUAGACGGCAGCACAAGUCUGGAGUGAAAUGCCGGGGCUUAACCCCGGAACUGCAUUGGAAACUGUGCAGCUAGAGUGCAGGAGAGGUAAGUGGAAUUCCGAGUGUAGCGGUGAAAUGCGUAGAUAUUAGGAGGAACACCAGUGGCGAAGGCGGCUUACUGGACAGUAACUGACGUUGAGGCUCGAAAGCGUGGGGAGCAAACAGGAUUAGAUACCCUUGUAGUC
Molecule: ribosomal RNA, 440 nt
Filed under: uncultured bacterium
Lineage: Bacteria
Description: partial 16S ribosomal RNA
Rfam family: Bacterial small subunit ribosomal RNA
Source: RNAcentral